This 22-nucleotide non-coding RNA is filed under the name Drosophila melanogaster (fruit fly). The record is from RNAcentral. Lineage: Eukaryota; Metazoa; Arthropoda; Insecta; Diptera; Drosophilidae.
UGAGAGCAUUGGUAAGCCUGCG